GACUUUCAGUAGGGAGGAAGGUAGUGUAGUUAACACCUGCAUAUUUGACGUUACCUACAGAAGAAGACACCGGCUAACUCCGUGCCAGCAGCCGCGGUAAUACGGAGGGUGCGAGCGUUAAUCGGAAUUACUGGGCGUAAAGACGCAUGCAGGCGGCCUGUUAAGUUCAGAUGUGAAAGACCCGGGGCGUUAACCUCCGGAAAUUGCAUUUGAAACUAGGCAGGCUAGAGUCUUGUAGAGGGGGGUAGGGAAGUUUCUAGGUGUAGCGGUGAAAUAGCGUAGAGAUCUGAAGGAAUACCAGUGGCGAAGGCGGCCCCCUCGGACAAAGACUGACGCUCAGAUGCGAAAGCGUGGGGAGCAAACAGGAUUAGAUACCCUGGUAG
RNAcentral lists this ribosomal RNA (383 nucleotides) under uncultured bacterium. Its description in RNAcentral is "bacterial SSU rRNA". It matches the Rfam family "Bacterial small subunit ribosomal RNA", at positions 431 to 793 of the family's 1533-position model. The record is from RNAcentral.